This 628-nucleotide ribosomal RNA is filed under the name uncultured fungus. RNAcentral describes it as "eukaryotic LSU rRNA". It matches the Rfam family "Eukaryotic large subunit ribosomal RNA", at positions 24 to 664 of the family's 3401-position model. Lineage: Eukaryota; Fungi. The record is from RNAcentral.
CCCGCUGAACUUAAGCAUAUCAAUAAGCGGAGGAAAAGAAACCAACAGGGAUUGCCUCAGUAACUGCGAGUGAAGCGGCAAAAGCUCAAAUUUGAAAUCUGGUACCUCUGGGUGCUCGAGUUGUAAUUUGGAGAGGCAACUUCGGAGGGGGCGCUGGCCUAAGUUCCUUGGAACAGGACGUCACAGAGGGUGAGAAUCCCGUGCUUGGCUGGCUGUCCUCCUUCAUGUGAAGUGUCUUCGACGAGUCGAGUUGUUUGGGAAUGCAGCUCAAAAUGGGUGGUAAACUCCAUCUAAGGCUAAAUACUGGCGAGAGACCGAUAGCGCACAAGUAGAGUGAUCGAAAGAUGAAAAGCACUUUGAAAAGAGAGUUAAACAGUACGUGAAAUUGUUGAAAGGGAAACGCUUGAAGUCAGUCGCGUCGGCCGGAACUCAGCCUUGCUUCUGCUCGGCGCACUUUCCGGCCCGACGGGCCAGCAUCGGUUUCGUGGGGCGGACACUGGUGGGGGGAAGGUGGUGGCCCCUGGCCGCGUUAUAGCCUCCCGUCGCGAACGCCCCGUGGGACCGAGGAAUCCGGCGUGAGCCUGGGAUGCUGGCGUAAUGGCUUUAAACGACCCGUCUUGAAACACGG